ACUUAAGUAGUUUAAAAAAAAUAUUGGUCUGUGAAUCCAAAGAUGUAAAUAUUAUCUUGAGUA
Molecule: transfer RNA, 63 nt
Filed under: Stygiocaris stylifera
Lineage: Eukaryota; Metazoa; Arthropoda; Malacostraca; Decapoda; Atyidae
Description: tRNA-His
Rfam family: tRNA
About the family: Transfer RNA (tRNA) molecules are approximately 80 nucleotides in length. Their secondary structure includes four short double-helical elements and three loops (D, anti-codon, and T loops).
Source: RNAcentral